This 497-nucleotide ribosomal RNA is filed under the name uncultured bacterium. Its description in RNAcentral is "partial 16S ribosomal RNA". It matches the Rfam family "Bacterial small subunit ribosomal RNA", at positions 28 to 507 of the family's 1533-position model. The record is from RNAcentral.
GACGAACGCUGGCGGCGUGCCUAAUACAUGCAAGUAGAACGCUGAAGAGAGGAGCUUGCUCUUCUUGGAUGAGUUGCGAACGGGUGAGUAACGCGUAGGUAACCUGCCUUGUAGCGGGGGAUAACUAUUGGAAACGAUAGCUAAUACCGCAUAACAAUGGAUGACACAUGUCUUUUAUUUGAAAGGGGCAAUUGCUCCACUACAAGAUGGACCUGCGUUGUAUUAGCUAGUAGGUGAGGUAAUGGCUCACCUAGGCGACGAUACAUAGCCGACCUGAGAGGGUGAUCGGCCACACUGGGACUGGGACACGGCCCAGACUCCUACGGGAAGCAGCAGUAGGGAAUCUUCGGCAAUGGGGGCAACCCUGACCGGACAACGCCGCGUGAGUGAAGAAGGUUUUCGGAUCGUAAAGCUCUGUUGUAAGUCAAGAACGAGUGUGGGAGUGGAAAGUUCACACUGUGACGGUAGCUUACCAGAAAGGGACGGCUAACUACGUG